RNAcentral lists this ribosomal RNA (484 nucleotides) under uncultured bacterium. RNAcentral's name for it is "partial 16S ribosomal RNA". It matches the Rfam family "Bacterial small subunit ribosomal RNA", at positions 30 to 507 of the family's 1533-position model. The record is from RNAcentral.
AUUGAACGCUGGCGGCAGGCCUAACACAUGCAAGUCGAGCGGAUGAAGGGAGCUUGCUCCUGGAUUCAGCGGCGGACGGGUGAGUAAUGCCUAGGAAUCUGCCUGGUCGUGGGGGAUAACGUCCGGAAACGGGCGCUAAUACCGCAUACGUCCUGAUGUAGAAAGUGGGGGAUCUUCGGACCUCACGCUAUCAGAUGAGCCUAGGUCGGAUUAGCUAGUUGGUUGGGUAAAGGCCUACCAAGGCGACGAUCCGUAACUGGUCUGAGAGGAUGAUCAGUCACACUGGAACUGAGACACGGUCCAGACUCCUACGGGAGGCAGCAGUGGGGAAUCUUCGACAAUGGGCGAAAGCCUGAUCCAGCAAUGCCGCGUGUGUGAAGAAGGUCUUCGGAUUGUAAAGCACUUUAAGUUGGGAGGAAGGGAAGUAAGUUAAUCCAUUGCUGUCUUGACGUUACCAACAGAAUAAGCCCCGGCUAACUUCGUG